Molecule: ribosomal RNA, 497 nt
Filed under: uncultured bacterium
Lineage: Bacteria
Description: partial 16S ribosomal RNA
Rfam family: Bacterial small subunit ribosomal RNA
Source: RNAcentral
GAUGAACGCUGGCGGCGUGCCUAAUACAUGCAAGUCGAGCGAACGGACGAGAAGCUUGCUUCUCUGAUGUUAGCGGCGGACGGGUGAGUAACACGUGGAUAACCUACCUAUAAGACUGGGAUAACUUCGGGAAACCGGAGCUAAUACCGGAUAAUAUUUUGAACCGCAUGGUUCAAAAGUGAAAGACGGUCUUGCUGUCACUUAUAGAUGGAUCCGCGCUGCAUUAGCUAGUUGGUAAGGUAACGGCUUACCAAGGCAACGAGGCAUAGCCGACCUGAGAGGGUGAUCGGCCACACUGGAGCUGAGACACGGUCCAGGCGACUACGGGAGGCAGCAGUAGGGAAUCUUCCGCAAAGGGCGAAAGCCUGACGGAGCAACGCCGCGUGAGUGAUGAAGGUCUUCGGAUCGUAAAACUCUGUUAUUAGGGAAGAACAUAUGUGUAAGUAACUGUGCACAUCUUGACGGUACCUAAUCAGAAAGCCACGGCUAACUACGUG